GGUAGUCCACGCCGUAAACGAUGUCGACUUGGAGGUUGUGCCCUUGAGGCGUGGCUUCCGGAGCUAACGCGUUAAGUCGACCGCCUGGGGAGUACGGCCGCAAGGUUAAAACUCAAAUGAAUUGACGGGGGCCCGCACAAGCGGUGGAGCAUGUGGUUUAAUUCGAUGCAACGCGAAGAACCUUACCUACUCUUGACAUCCAGAGAACUUAGCAGAGAUGCUUUGGUGCCUUCGGGAACUCUGAGACAGGUGCUGCAUGGCUGUCGUCAGCUCGUGUUGUGAAAUGUUGGGUUAAGUCCCGCAACGAGCGCAACCCUUAUCCUUUGUUGCCAGCGGUUAGGCCGGGAACUCAAAGGAGACUGCCAGUGAUAAACUGGAGGAAGGUGGGGAUGACGUCAAGUCAUCAUGGCCCUUACGAGUAGGGCUACACACGUGCUACAAUGGCGCAUACAAAGAGAAGCGACCUCGCGAGAGCAAGCGGACCUCAUAAAGUGCGUCGUAGUCCGGAUUGGAGUCUGCAACUCGACUCCAUGAAGUCGGAAUCGCUAGUAAUCGUAGAUCAGAAUGCUACGGUGAAUACGUUCCCGGGCCUUGUACACACCGCCCGUCGCACCAUGGGAGUGGGUUGCAAAAGAAGUAGGUAGCUUAACCUUCGGGAGGGCGCUUACCACUUUGUGAUUCAUGACUGGGGUGAAGUCGUAACAAGGUAACCGUAGGGGAACCUGC
This 726-nucleotide ribosomal RNA is filed under the name uncultured bacterium. RNAcentral describes it as "bacterial SSU rRNA". It matches the Rfam family "Bacterial small subunit ribosomal RNA", at positions 789 to 1515 of the family's 1533-position model. The record is from RNAcentral.